Molecule: long non-coding RNA, 600 nt
Organism: Daphnia magna
Lineage: Eukaryota; Metazoa; Arthropoda; Branchiopoda; Diplostraca; Daphniidae
Exons: 3
Source: RefSeq, a predicted model, not a curated record
ACCUAGAGCUUGGACGACCUAAUCUUCAGUUUCCUGUCUGACCUGCUCGCUGUUUCUUCUCGUGCUCGUGUUCUUUCUGCGUCAGAACACGAUGCGGUUCUACUAGGAAUGUCGGAGCAAUCUUUGGUGUAUCCUGUUGAAUCACGACUUGACCCAUGUGCUGUUGUCUGGGCAAGUGUGAAAACCAAUCAUUUCUAAAAGCUGCCUCCACGGAUUCUGUUUCAGCUGCCUUCUCCAGUGGUCAAAGUGAAACCAGUGCCCACUAUGUGUGAAACCAUUCAGCUCAGUCAUCCAUAAUAUAAAAUCCAACAAUGAGUAUGACGAAUUUAAUAUUGACUUGGUGGGGCAGAAGAAAUUCUAAGCAGUGAACUCAGCGAAUCUGCUGAUGAUGAUGAUUCCAUCAAUACCGCUAGUAGUGAUUCCAGCUGGUAUACCAUUGGCAGUGACGAUGAGUCAACAGUGAUGAUGAGUCUAGCAGUGAUGAAUCCAGCUCUGAAAGUGAUCUUUUCGGAUUGGAUGAUAUCUUUUUCCUGGGAGCCCGUCUUGAGCGAGCAGGUUCAGCAAAGACUCGAUGCUUCUCUGUUGUCCCGCCAUUCAGAC